UGUAAGCUCAACAUUAUUUCUAUUUUUUCCCCAGUUUUUGGUCUACCUUUUGUUUGAACCAAUCUUCAAUUCUUCCUUGUAGGUGGUUGAUUAGAAUUCGACUUCUGGGCCUGCAAAGACAAUUGUUGUCAUCACGUCACGUCUCCUAAGUGAUGCUUAUAGAUACAUUUUACAUUACUUGAGUGAACUUUAGAUUGUGUGCAGCUGUGCUGUAUUUACAUGCAUUUCAGAGAUGGCGGAUGAUAAUACGGGUAAGACUAUUGCUAAAGCCCCGAAAAAGUCAAAAAAGAAGAGUCCGUUUAUACCACUAGAGGGCAUAGUGUCAGGUACCCUUAGGAUUGGACUCAGACAUCUAUCUCCUCCCCCAUACCGUUCACCACGUGGCCCUCCAUUUCCCCAUUAUGGGGAAGUCAAUGGGUUGGCAUUUAGUCAGCCGACUAGUCAUGUCACAAUGCACCCAUUUUUUUGGCCUCAGGUCCAAACAAAACCAUAAACUAAAUCUCAGUCCCCUGGCACACCACGCACCAUCUUGCAUGGCCUCCUUGAUUAUUAUCAUGUAUCACAGCGAGCAACAAUGAGCGGUACUCCGACAGCUACUCAAGCUUGACUGUGUCACAGCCAUCGACCUCAUAUAACCCAAAUGAUGUGACGUCGGGGCGUCAAGAAAGUAGCUCUGAUUCUGAUGACGAACCUCGCCGACAAGGAGACCCAAAGUAACUUGAGACUUAUGAUGAGUAUGGUCGUCUCAUAAUCAAGCCAGUUGGACACGGGAAAGUAUAUUGAAUUUGCAUAAGUUUUUACUUUAUUUUAAAACAUCUAAGGUAAUAUUUUAAUUAUUUCAUCAUCUUGAUGAAGCUUCUUUCCAGGCGUAGUAACUAAAAGGGCUUCAAAGUUGGUCAAGCAACUGUAAAGAGGCGUCAUUUUGUCUUGGGGCAAGGUGUCAGUGAAUCUGAAGAAGCAGAUGUUUGUAGAGUUCAGGAAAAAGUGUUUUUGGAAGCCGAAACAUGAGAAAUUAGUAGCGCAUAAAUUAGAGAAAAAGGCGGGUAAUAUACUUAAGCAGGCGUUACGUAGAGGCCGUGUCAAUGUCCUGCAGCCUAAGUGGAUCCAUGAUGAUCACUGGAAGGAGCUGCAGCACUUCUGGACGAUUGAUCCGAUAUUUUUGAAGCAAAGUGAAAAUGGGAGGAAGGCCAGGGCCUCAGAGAAGGGUGGAUUUCGACACACUAGUGGGGCCACCAGCCACGAGGACGUUAGGAUGAAGCUGAUAUGUAACCCUCUGUAGCUUUGGCGGUCUAUUAUGCAAUUUAAUCUUUCCAUAGCUUUGGUUAUGUUGUUAUAUUGAAGGUAAGGCAAAUUAAGAUAUAGAAGGGGUUAAAUGGGUUCCAUUCCGAGCUUGCUGCUCAUCGUGUUGAUGAAACUUUUAUUGAUGACAUUAUAUGCUACUAAUACAACUAGA
Molecule: long non-coding RNA, 1453 nt
Organism: Lycium barbarum (goji berry)
Lineage: Eukaryota; Viridiplantae; Streptophyta; Magnoliopsida; Solanales; Solanaceae
Exons: 3
Source: RefSeq, a predicted model, not a curated record